RNAcentral lists this long non-coding RNA (781 nucleotides) under Gossypium barbadense (sea-island cotton). Its description in RNAcentral is "long non-coding RNA (GBAR_LNC014032)". The record is from RNAcentral. Lineage: Eukaryota; Viridiplantae; Streptophyta; Magnoliopsida; Malvales; Malvaceae.
AAUUCCCCAUUGUCUGCCACUGACAUGUUUUUUCUCUUACAGACAAGUUGGCAGUCUCCAUAGAUUACUCAACAUGUCUGCUGCAACACACCUUCUAAAACCAUGUUUGAAAGUUAAGUGGAGCUCUCCAGGCAUCUCCUGAUCAUCAUCAGACAUCAAUAACAACAAUCAAACAUGUCAGUUUCUUGGAGGCACAAGUGCUUGCUCUUCACUCUUCUUGCUUUCAUUGUUCUCUCAGAAUCAUCAAGAUUGCCUAAGGAAUACUGGGAACAAAUGCUUCCCAAGAAGUUCCCAACUCCAUCCUCAUCUCCCUCUAAAGGUACCAAUUCCGUAACAACAUCAACACCGAAAGCAGUUAAAACCGAUAUAAGCCUUCCUUCAUCCGACGGCAAGGUCUAGUCGCCAUUGAAGAGCUCAAGUUUCAACUUGAGACUGCACCGAUCCGAACUGAGCACAUAGAGUUUUGGCAACUAAUCUUCUGCAAUUUAAAUGUAUCAUAGUGCUCGUGGACCAGAUCACAUAUUCAAGUAGAUUUGUUCGACUUGGCCUUAAAGGUAUAUAGUGAGUUAACUGUGUAGAUUGAAGAAUGAGGAUGAAUUCGCUGUAUAACUAAUAGAUCCACUGAUUUAGAUUCAUUAACUUAGCCUUCAUAUCAUGCAGGAUAAAUAAAUUUUUUACAGCUAAAAGUAAAUUUUUUGUUCUUACUGUAAUACUUAUCUGGAGCAUUUCCAUGAUAUAAUUUACUCAUACUUAGCUAAGAAAAGGGAAAUUUUUUUCCUUC